CCUCUAUAUAUAUUUGUACAACAACCAUUCCUCUUACACCUAUCUCCACAAUUUCUUGACCAAAAACAAUGGCCACUUUCUCUCUGGUUUCAUUCUUUUUUCUCCCCAAAUGAUACACAUUUUGAUUUUAUUUAAGCCAGGACCAACGUAUACGCUCACCACCAUUCAUAUAAAAAGGUUUUGUUUGUAUACAUAUAUUCCAUAUAUAUAAGGAUUUAUAUAUAGUCGUGCCUGGCUCCCUGUAUGCCACAAGAAAACAUCGAUUUAGUUACAAAAUCGAUCACUAGUGGCGUACAGAGUAGUCAAGCAUGACCAAAACUUUUCUUGAUAUAUAAGUACUGUGUCUCGAUAAAACAGCUACGUACUAUGCAUGGAUGGUGGAUACAAAUACAUCGUUCAGGACCUGCCAGCUCAUCAGUCAUCAAGAGGUUCUAAGCCUGCUCAAAGUUUUAGAGUGAUGCUUUUUUUCCUCCGAGCGGGUUUUAGAAGACAUUGCAUGCGAUGUGUUGUAUUGUCUCACUUGUGUGACAGAAGAAACAGAGAACACAACACAUCUGCCUCGCCUUUUCAUACAUUUGUGUCCUUCCCAAAUUUUUACUCUUUUUUGUUUUUUUAAUGUUUCUUUCCUCAAAAUCAUCGACACUGAUUAGAGACGAUAUAUACUUCUAGAGGUUUGUAUGUAAUUAAGAAAAUUAAUCAAUAUUUACAAAUUGUAUUAUUAUAAUA
Long non-coding RNA from Camelina sativa (false flax), 726 nucleotides. RefSeq lists it as uncharacterized. The record is from RefSeq and is a predicted model, not a curated record. Lineage: Eukaryota; Viridiplantae; Streptophyta; Magnoliopsida; Brassicales; Brassicaceae.